RNAcentral lists this ribosomal RNA (253 nucleotides) under uncultured bacterium. RNAcentral's name for it is "partial 16S ribosomal RNA". It matches the Rfam family "Bacterial small subunit ribosomal RNA", at positions 524 to 776 of the family's 1533-position model. The record is from RNAcentral.
UACGGAGGGAGCUAGCGUUGUUCGGAAUUACUGGGCGUAAAGCGCACGUAGGCGGCUUUGUAAGUUAGAGGUGAAAGCCUGGAGCUCAACUCCAGAAUAGCCUUUAAGACUGCAUCGCUUGAAUCCAGGAGAGGUGAGUGGAAUUCCGAGUGUAGAGGUGAAAUUCGUAGAUAUUCGGAAGAACACCAGUGGCGAAGGCGGCUCACUGGUUGGAUACUGACGCUGAUACGCGAAAGCGUGGGGAGCAAACAGG